Molecule: ribosomal RNA, 576 nt
Filed under: uncultured bacterium
Lineage: Bacteria
Description: partial 16S ribosomal RNA
Rfam family: Bacterial small subunit ribosomal RNA
Source: RNAcentral
UGGGGAAUUUUGGACAAUGGGCGAAAGCCUGAUCCAGCAAUGCCGCGUGUGUGAAGAGGGCCUUCGGGUUGUAAAGCACUUUUGUCCGGAAAGAAAUCCUCUGGGUUAAUACCUCGGGGGGAUGACGGUACCGGAAGAAUAAGCACCGGCUAACUACGUGCCAGCAGCCGCGGUAAUACGUAGGGUGCAAGCGUUAAUCGGAAUUACUGGGCGUAAAGCGUGCGCAGGCGGUUUUGUAAGACGGAUGUGAAAUCCCCGGGGCUUAACCUGGGAACUGCAUUCGUGACUGCAAGGCUAGAGUAUGGCAGAGGGGGGUAGAAUUCCACGUGUAGCAGUGAAAUGCGUAGAGAUGUGGAGGAAUACCGAUGGCGAAGGCAGCCCCCUGGGCCAAAUACUGACGCUCAUGCACGAAAGCGUGGGGAGCAAACAGGAUUAGAUACCCUGGUAGUCCACGCCCUAAACGAUGUCAACUAGUUGUUGGGGAUUCAUUUCCUUAGUAACGUAGCUAACGCGUGAAGUUGACCGCCUGGGGAGUACGGUCGCAAGAUUAAAACUCAAAUGAAUUGACGGGGUCAU